RNAcentral lists this long non-coding RNA (848 nucleotides) under Olea europaea subsp. europaea. Lineage: Eukaryota; Viridiplantae; Streptophyta; Magnoliopsida; Lamiales; Oleaceae. The record is from RNAcentral.
GUUUAUUAUUGCCGUGUUUGAGCCACAUUAUUUGAAAAGAUGCAUUUUUCAACAGUGAUUUGACAUUAUUUCAACCGCAUAUUCUUCAAUAAAAUAAUAUUACGGUCAAAUCCAAAAUUUUUCUUUAUUUUUUAAUCACACAUUUUUCAUCGAUACACUAUUCUAAAAUGCAUUUUCAUUUCAAUAAUGUGGCUCAAACAAGGGCUAUAUGCAAAAUCAUGUUAAUAAAUUAUACAUUAAUAUAAUCGAACUUCACUAUAUAUUUAAUAAAUUGCUUUUCAUCAUAGUAAUCUGCGUUUUUUUAUCAAGAGAAUUAAAUCUCUAUUCAAAAGGAGAUUCCAAAAUGUAGGAAAUUAUCGAAGACUUAUUUGAUGCUUUUGAAAGUAUUUGGGUUGCUUGAGAUUGCUAAUCUAUUAUGAUCCAGAGUUGGUGAGUAUUAUUUUUAAUGAUAAAUGAAGGAGGCGAUAUUGAAGAAAAUGAAAUUGGGACAAUUAAGGAUUAAGAUAAAAUGUUUUAGUAUUUUAUUUUAUUUAUAUAAGCACGUAUCCGCAUAUCCUAUCCUAAUUUUUUUUUAAGAAGUUAUAUCGGCGUACCCAUAUCAUAUUGUAUUCAAAUUACGUAUCCAAAUCUGUGCUUCUUAGGAUGAGACCUGUGAGUGGGAUUUGUGCUUAUAGCCUUAAAACUAUUUCAGGAACUUUAUAGUUAAUAGAUGUAUGUGAAUUAAAUGUAUCAACUUGGAACCAUGGUAUCACACCCAACUAAGUGUUCAAAUACAUUUAAUAAAUGAACAUUAUUUUCAUCCCUAAACCAUGCUUUCCUCCCCGCCGUGGCCAUAUGGAAUCUGUCUC